UCUGCCUCCGGCCUGCUCCCGGCCGGCCCGGCCCGGCUCCGCUUCACCUGGUCCCCCACUCUGGCCGCGGGAGCCCAGUGUCCUGCAUUGACCCGGAAGCAGCUUCCUCGGUCCAACAACAACACGUGACCCCGCCGCACGUGUCACGUCCGCUGCGUGGAUGGGAGGGGGCGCAGCAGAGCUGGUCCUCCCCAACCCAGCCGGGGUUGCCAUGGCGACCGGAUGGCGGCUCUGGCCCUGGCUCCUCAGAAACACACCUCGUCCGCUGCGCCUUCCGGUGCAGUCCGCGAGGGGACGUCGCCAGGUGCGAGGAGUGCACCUGGUCACAUUGUCACAGCCACAGGAAGACACAUGGAACAGGGAUGGCACUGGCCAAUCCUGAAGUGAAUCCAGUCUUGUGUGGAUAUGUCAGCCGAACUCCUAGCAGUUGAAGAGGUUGUACAUCAGAGUCUCGUACCUGGAUUUUAGACACCGUGAAUCAUCCUUGCCAAGCCGAAACAGCUUUCAUCCAUCACUAACAUUUCAGGGUUUGUUUCCGUUUUAUUGUAAAUAUUCCAGUCGAAGAAAGAUAAACAGACAAGAAAAAACUGCUUUAUACAGUAUACAGAGUCAGAUAGAAAAUACAGAAUGAGAAAGAAAACCAACAACCAACAGAUAAAAAGUGGACACGAACCAAGGAAGAGAACUGGCUGGUUGCAAAUCCCCUCAUGGGCUUGAGCGAGGGGCCACGGUCUCAGCAGCUAAUAGAAACUGUCUGGGGCUGUCAGUCUUAUCUUUAUUCCACACGGUGAAAGACACAGACUUUAUAAAUGAUGCAUGGGGACACUUAUUUCACUAAUCCAUUAAAAAAAAAAAAGCUUGCUGUUGAUCAAGAUAUCCUGCUCAUAAAAACAAGUUUACUUUUUAAAACAAAAACAAAAACAAACCCAAAACAACCCUUCCCACCCCAAAUGCGAUCUGACAGCAGGGACCACGUUGUCAGAAGCGUGGCUGGAGCUGCGGGUUGCAGCAGUGUGGCACCACAGGGGUGUGUAGUCAGUUUCCUUCCGGUGUCCUUCCCACCAAAUCCAUAUUUCCCCGUGAAGUUAGAGGCAAGGUUUAGAAAAAUACUCAAGUGUUUUCCACAGCUUGAUGGUAGAAGAGAAAAAAGGAAAAGGACUCAAAUUCGUGAGAAAGAAAAGCUCAGGACCAAAUGGCAUCCUUUGUAAGAGUCACCAGGGAACUGCUCGGCCCCAGGACGGCAGCGCUAACCGAUGGUCCUGGCA
Molecule: long non-coding RNA, 1265 nt
Organism: Tupaia belangeri chinensis (Chinese tree shrew)
Lineage: Eukaryota; Metazoa; Chordata; Mammalia; Scandentia; Tupaiidae
Exons: 3
Source: RefSeq, a predicted model, not a curated record